AACGAACGCUGGCGGCAUGCCUAACACAUGCAAGUCGAACGAGACCUUCGGGUCUAGUGGCGCACGGGUGCGUAACGCGUGGGAACCUGCCCUUAGGUUCGGAAUAACUCCCCGAAAGGGGUGCUAAUACCGGAUAAUGUCUUCGGACCAAAGAUUUAUCGCCUUUGGACGGGCCCGCGUUGGAUUAGCUAGUUGGUAGGGUAAAAGCCUACCAAGGCGACGAUCCAUAGCUGGUCUGAGAGGAUGAUCAGCCACACUGGGACUGAGACACGGCCCAGACUCCUACGGGAGGCAGCAGUGGGGAAUAUUGGACGAUGGGCGAAAGCCUGAUCCAGCAAUGCCGCGUGAGUGAUGAAGGCCUUAGGGUUGUAAAGCUCUUUUACCCGGGAUGAUAAUGACAGUACCGGGAGAAUAAGCUCCGGCUAACUCCGUG
This 433-nucleotide ribosomal RNA is filed under the name uncultured bacterium. RNAcentral's name for it is "partial 16S ribosomal RNA". It matches the Rfam family "Bacterial small subunit ribosomal RNA", at positions 29 to 507 of the family's 1533-position model. The record is from RNAcentral.